RNAcentral lists this ribosomal RNA (241 nucleotides) under uncultured bacterium. Its description in RNAcentral is "partial 16S ribosomal RNA". It matches the Rfam family "Bacterial small subunit ribosomal RNA", at positions 15 to 252 of the family's 1533-position model. The record is from RNAcentral.
GAUCCUGGCUCAGAUUGAACGCUGGCGGCAGGCUUAACACAUGCAAGUCGAACGGUAACAUAAAGAAGCUUGCUUCUUUGAUGACAAGUGGCGGACGGGUGAGUAAUGCUUGGGAAUCUAGCUUGUGGAGGGGGAUAACUACGGGAAACUGUAGCUAAUACCGCGUAGAAUCGAGAGAUGAAAGUGUGGGACCUUCGGGCCACAUGCCAUAGGAUGAGCCCAAGUGGGAUUAGGUAGUUGG